This 253-nucleotide ribosomal RNA is filed under the name uncultured bacterium. Its description in RNAcentral is "partial 16S ribosomal RNA". It matches the Rfam family "Bacterial small subunit ribosomal RNA", at positions 524 to 776 of the family's 1533-position model. The record is from RNAcentral.
UACAGAGGGGGCAAGCGUUACUCGGAAUUAUUGGGCGUAAAGGGCGCGUAGGCGGCGAUUCAAGUGACGGGUGAAAUCCCUCGGCUUAACCGGGGAACUGCGUCUGAUACUGGAUGGCUUGAGUUCGGGAGAGGGAUGCGGAAUUCCAGGUGUAGCGGUGAAAUGCGUAGAUAUCUGGAGGAACACCGGUGGCGAAGGCGGCGUUCUGGACUGUUUCUGACACUGAAAAACGAAAGCCAGGGGAGCAAACGGG